Etheostoma cragini (Arkansas darter) is the source of this 533-nucleotide long non-coding RNA. RefSeq lists it as uncharacterized. The record is from RefSeq and is a predicted model, not a curated record. NCBI's taxonomy places the organism in Eukaryota, Metazoa, Chordata, Actinopteri, Perciformes, Percidae. The transcript is spliced from 2 exons.
CAAUGACAAAAUAAAACAUUUUGGUUGAUUUAAUUCUUCGAGGUUUAUUAGGGACUUGAGUUCGUAGCUUGUCGUGACAAUUUUCACGAAAGACCAAACACGAGAUGAGAGAACCCCCUCCUUUCCUAUAUUUAAUUGAGGCAGUAGAGGGGGAGGGUCGGGCUCAUUCUCGCCCUUUCCGAACGGUUCCGAUCUCUGCCGAUGUCCUGCACCGGCGGCAGUGCUGCUGCUGUUCUGCUGCGUGUCCUUCUCGCGUCUCCAUCGUCCAUCUCCGACACCUUUUCCAUCAUGGUGGACGUUUUGUUGUUAAUGUUUUUCGCCAUCGUCGGCCUCGUCUUCCUUUCCUAUAUCAUCUACUUGCUGUGACGAUGAUGAUGAAGACGAGGAAGCGUCCUGCCGAGCCUGCACACAGGAUGUGUGCUUUUCCUCCUCUGCAUCCCUGGUUUCCAUCAUGGACAUUGGGAGAAGAGCCAGGGUCCAGCCGUGAUGCUCGGCUCUUAUGUGGGAGAUGAAGAGCAAUCCAGCUGAGAGGA